This 301-nucleotide ribosomal RNA is filed under the name uncultured bacterium. RNAcentral's name for it is "partial 16S ribosomal RNA". It matches the Rfam family "Bacterial small subunit ribosomal RNA", at positions 509 to 809 of the family's 1533-position model. The record is from RNAcentral.
CAGCCGCCGCGGGAAUACGGAGGGUGCAAGCGUUAAUCGGAAUUACUGGGCGUAAAGCGCACGCAGGCGGUCUGACAAGUCAGAUGUGAAAUCCCCGGGCUUAACCUGGGAACUGCAUUUGAAACUGUCAGGCUGAAGUCUUGUAGAGGGGGGUGGAAUUCCAGGUGUAGCGGUGAAAUGCGUAGAGAUCUGGAGGAAUACCGGUGGCGAAGGCGGCCCCCUGGACAAAGACUGACGCUCAGGUGCGAAAGCGUGGGGAGCAAACAGGAUUAGAUACCCCUGUAGUCCCUGUCUCUUAUAA